UACGAAGGGGGCUAGCGUUGUUCGGAAUUACUGGGCGUAAAGCGCGCGUAGGCGGCUUUGUAAGUUAGAGGUGAAAGCCCGGGGCUCAACUCCGGAAUUGCCUUUAAGACUGCAUCGCUAGAAUCCGGGAGAGGUGAGUGGAAUUCCGAGUGUAGAGGUGAAAUUCGUAGAUAUUCGGAAGAACACCAGUGGCGAAGGCGGCUCACUGGACCGGUAUUGACGCUGAGGUGCGAAAGCGUGGGGAGCAAACAGG
This 253-nucleotide ribosomal RNA is filed under the name uncultured bacterium. RNAcentral describes it as "partial 16S ribosomal RNA". It matches the Rfam family "Bacterial small subunit ribosomal RNA", at positions 524 to 776 of the family's 1533-position model. The record is from RNAcentral.